This 253-nucleotide ribosomal RNA is filed under the name uncultured bacterium. RNAcentral's name for it is "partial 16S ribosomal RNA". It matches the Rfam family "Bacterial small subunit ribosomal RNA", at positions 524 to 776 of the family's 1533-position model. The record is from RNAcentral.
UACGUAGGGUGCAAGCGUUGUCUGGAAUUAUUGGGCGUAAAGAGCUCGUAGGCGGUUUGUCGCGUCUGCUGUGAAAGUUCGGGGCUCAACCCCGGAACUGUAGUGGGUACGGGCAGACUAGAGUGCGGUAGAGGAGACUGGAAUUCCUGGUGUAGCGGUGGAAUGCGCAGAUAUCAGGAGGAACACCAGUGGCGAAGGCGGGUCUCUGGGCCGCAACUGGCGCUGAGGAGUGAAAGCGUGGGGAGCGAACAGG